GAAACAAUGGCAUGCCAACUCUCUCUCUCUCCCAGAGAUGGAAAAAUUCUGUUCUGAGCUAUAGAGGCUCAUUCGAGUGCUUUAUUGUCCGAUCCUUCAGCUUCCUAUUGAUCUACUCCAUCUGUGAAAUUAUAUGUCCGGAUAAGAUCAGUCAUCGAGUCUUUUUUUAAGUAAUAUAAAAAAAAUUUAAUUAUAAAAAUAAUUUAAUUUUAACUUAUUUAUCAAUUUGAUGUAAAAAUGAUAAAAUGUCAUUCAAAAUUAUGUUUUAUCUUCCACGU
This 278-nucleotide long non-coding RNA is filed under the name Elaeis guineensis (African oil palm). RNAcentral describes it as "long non-coding RNA (EGUI_LNC015866)". The record is from RNAcentral. Lineage: Eukaryota; Viridiplantae; Streptophyta; Magnoliopsida; Arecales; Arecaceae.